RNAcentral lists this ribosomal RNA (253 nucleotides) under uncultured bacterium. RNAcentral's name for it is "partial 16S ribosomal RNA". It matches the Rfam family "Bacterial small subunit ribosomal RNA", at positions 524 to 776 of the family's 1533-position model. The record is from RNAcentral.
UACGGAGGGUGCAAGCGUUGUCCGGAUUUAUUGGGUUUAAAGGGUGCGUAGGCGGCUUUUUAAGUCAGUGGUGAAAUACAACAGCUCAACUGUUGAGGUGCCAUUGAUACUGAAGAGCUUGAGUACAGAUGAGGUAGGCGGAAUUUAUGGUGUAGCGGUGAAAUGCAUAGAUACCAUAAAGAACACCGAUUGCGAAGGCAGCUUACUAAGCUGUAACUGACGCUGAGGCACGAAAGCGUGGGGAGCGAACAGG